GGAACUGCACCUCAUCUGAGACUGGGUGCGGUCAAUGAGAAAUCAAAUAUUUAUAUACUAAUCCUGCAGCCUGGCAACACAACGGAGGAACUUGUGAUGGUAGAGGAAAUGAAACUAGACGGCAUGGGAACAACAGAAACAUGAUGAACUAAUACUCAGGACUGGAUUGGAAGUACUGAGAGGCCCAUCUAGAAGACAGUAAUACUUCGCUUUUUCCAACCUUGCUGCUGAUGCUGGUGAUACCAUCAGUGUGAAUUUCAGAUCAGCAGAUACAAUUAAUGAUGGACUGAAAAUCAGUAUCUACAUAUCAAGACCCAGGAGCAAUACAUUAUGCAUCCAGUUCGCACCAAGAGAUGUUGAAAUAAUGCCUAAGGUACUAUAAACUAGUCUGAAAGAGAAAUACAAAGCCUUGAAAUCAAGCAUGUAAAUAGAGAUUAUUGUCACUGAUACUGUUUGAUGAGUUCAAAUUGAUACAUCCUAACAUUCCUUAGAGUCCUUCUCCAAAAAUUACUGAAGAAAAUGUUAUGCAUUAGCUCUUGUUUUAUUACUGUUAAUAUGUUCUUUAAAAUCACUUCGCUUUAUUGAAAGCAGAGGAUGUAAUUGCUCCAAUGACUAAACUUGUAACUUGAUUAAAUUUUCUGGGAAAUGAAUGUGUAAACAUAAUUGAUAAGAACAAUUUA
RNAcentral lists this long non-coding RNA (680 nucleotides) under Coturnix japonica (Japanese quail). RNAcentral's name for it is "lncRNA (ENSCJPG00005015415.1)". The record is from RNAcentral. Lineage: Eukaryota; Metazoa; Chordata; Aves; Galliformes; Phasianidae.